This 197-nucleotide ribosomal RNA is filed under the name uncultured bacterium. Its description in RNAcentral is "partial 16S ribosomal RNA". It matches the Rfam family "Bacterial small subunit ribosomal RNA", at positions 328 to 539 of the family's 1533-position model. The record is from RNAcentral.
ACGCUCGACACCUACGGGGGCAGCAGUGGGGAAUAUUGCACAAUGGGGGAAACCCUGAUGCAGCGACGCCGCGUGAAGGAUGAAGUAUUUCGGUAUGUAAACUUCUAUCAGCAGGGAAGAAAGUGACGGUACCUGACUAAGAAGCCCCGGCUAACUACGUGCCAGUAGCCGCGGUAAUCUGAGCGGGCUGGCAAGGC